RNAcentral lists this long non-coding RNA (1009 nucleotides) under Heterocephalus glaber (naked mole-rat). RNAcentral's name for it is "lncRNA (ENSHGLG00000026583.2)". The record is from RNAcentral. Lineage: Eukaryota; Metazoa; Chordata; Mammalia; Rodentia; Bathyergidae.
UUUUUUGGUACCUGGGAUCGAACUCAGGACCUUCCUUGUAAGGCCGUUGGUGGUACCACUGAGCUAAAUCCCUGGGCCUCUUUUCUUAUUUUUAAUUUUUGAGACAGGGUCUUGCUAAGCCACUGAGUUGCCCAGGCUGGGCUUGAAUUUGUGAUCCUCCUGCUUCAGCCUCCCAGAGUGCUGGGAUGACAGGUGUGCACCACCAUGCCCGGCAAAUCGCACCUAUCCUAGUCCCUGAUGAAAUGCCUUCUCUCCAGGGGUCAUGUUUCCCAGCUGUUUAGCCCCCCCCCCCCAUACAGAGGCACACACCUGGACAGAGCUCAUCAUCACCAGAGGGCUCCAGAGCAAUCCAUUUGAAAACUUUCCCUCAGAUCAAGAACUUGCUAUGGCUCCUUGUGUCAGCCACUUCAGAAACCUGUUCCUAGUAGGUUCCCAGCUGCACUCCUAGGUGUCGAGCUCCCCUACUGUAGCCCAGAAUGCGGCCCGUGUUCACCUUCCACCGUAUGCUGGAAGGUCAGAAGUGACUUUCUUCUCAGUAGUGACUUGGUUUGGAAUGUGCCCCUGGCUCCCUGGCAGCUUGGGCAGCAGAGGGCACGUUUGGCCGGUGAGCUAGAUGGACCAGGAUGCCUGUGGCUCUGUCCCCUGGGCGGCCACCCCAGCUGCCAUGCGCCCGCCCCUUGCUCUGUGACCUGUGCCCUUCCUCUGCCUGCGUGUGGACCAGCGUGUGGACCAGUGGCUGAGCCUGAGAGGGAGCACCUGGUGGAGGGACCCGCCCCUGCCGUCUUGACAGAGGACACAGCCACACUCUGCCAGCCCUGCCACUGCCGGCGGCCACUCCCUCACAGCCCAGCCUGGUCCUUGGCAGCCUCACCCCUUCUCAAGCCUUGUCUUAGCCAGCAGCCACCUCCCCUUCCAGCCCCCCAACCCCCAUGAUCCUUUAAAGGACCCCAGAGCCCCGAGGAGAGCAUCCCGUUUGGUCUCAGCGCCACAGCAGCCCACUCAGGUUUGU